RNAcentral lists this ribosomal RNA (253 nucleotides) under uncultured bacterium. Its description in RNAcentral is "partial 16S ribosomal RNA". It matches the Rfam family "Bacterial small subunit ribosomal RNA", at positions 524 to 776 of the family's 1533-position model. The record is from RNAcentral.
UACGUAGGUGACCAGCGUUGUCCGGAUUUACUGGGCGUAAAGGGUGCGUAGGCGGCGCGGUAAGUCGGGUGUGAAAUCUCGGAGCUUAACUCCGAAACUGCAUUCGAUACUGCCGUGCUUGAGGACUGGAGAGGAGACUGGAAUUUACGGUGUAGCGGUGAAAUGCGUAGAUAUCGUAAGGAAGACCAGUGGCGAAGGCGGGUCUCUGGACAGUUCCUGACGCUGAGGCACGAAGGUCAGGGGAGCAAACGGG